UUCUCUUUCAUUUGCUAUUCCUUCUUUCCGUCUACUUAGUGCGAAAUCUCAGAUCUAUUAUCUAUGAUUCCUGAUUCGAGUUUUGUUUCUAUAGAUCCGGUCGAAUGGUGUAACGAUCUACGAUUUGGUAUCAGAUUUUCGAUGAUAUGAUUAACGCCGUCUGAUGCAUAUCUAAAAAGGUCUUCGACGGAAAGAUCCGGAAGCUUUGCAGGAAGUUGUCAUCUGUAUGUUGAUAUCUUUGUUCAUAUCGAUGGUGAUCCGUUUGAUCUCGCUCGUGGUUUCUUUUAUCGAUCUUGAGAUGCGUUGCAGGAAUAAAUCAACCAUCUGUGAUGUUAUAUGACAGAGAUCUUGGAUUGGAAGCUGGUUUGUGAUUGAAAGGAUGUGUAAGAUAUCAAGGGAAAUGGUCCUGAUCUAUCUUUGUCAUCCGAGGCCUUUGCCAUGACAGGUGCGCUUGCAUGGCAGGUCACCCGAACUUAAUAAAAAAAUCUAUUAUUUGGUGUUUCGGAGGGGAGUUCGCACGGGGUUGCCCGGGUUCUCUCCUCUGCUGUGGUGUCUCGUCUCUCUUUACUCUCUCACCCUUUACGCUUUCCUAUUAUUUACUCAAUUAGCAUACGCUGCGUAAUACUGGAUCGACGAAUGGUCCCCAAUCGUCAUUAUCAUCAUCAUCAACUUGGAUUUAGCUCAUGUUCUCCAAGCUAUUAACCGUCAACUACUUACAAAUCUCAAAGCAAAGCCUUUGUUAAAUUUCAGAUGACCCCAAUUUGGCCCAAGUAUUGAAGUUUUCCACCAUUUAGACUCCAUCUCCUGAAACAGCCCGUAAUUUUUCAGUUGUUUUAAAUUUUCUUGUUUCUACCAUGGUUAAUUUACAUGGACAUUAUAUUGUCAGUAUUGUUUCAUCGAACUUUGUACCUUUAGUUAAGUUUAGUAUGUAGUUGCUUUGUAUCAUAUGUGCAAUACUUGUAUUGCUUUUUGUAGUUGCACGGUCCCUUGUUUGGGUCUCUGUUUAACGUUGGGUUGAAGGUUGAAGAUCAUUUACUGGCCAUUGAAUUUAUCGACGAAAGAUGUAUCAACGGAGAGUUGUUUUGGAAACUGCCUCAUCUUUAACUAACAUCGGAAAGUAAGCACUGUCAUCUGAGGAGAUUCUGACGCGCAGCUGGUCUACUGUUUGAGAGAUUUCCUCCAUAUUCUAGUUCUUGAAGCAUUGAAGCCUACAGCGUAAGUUGAACCCAUCUGGUUUUGCUUGGUGCACUGCUCGAUUUAGUUUUGAAGAUUGAUGAUUCUGGUGUUACAUAUGUUGAUGUGUAACGGGCCCCUUUUGCAUAGUGAAAUAUUCAGUGUACUUCGGUACCGUGGUUUUUCCCCUUUCAUGGGGUUUCCACGUUAAUUUUUCCUGUCGCAUUUAUUGUUUAUUUGCAUUCAUCUACGAUCAAAUCAAAGACUAUGCCUGCAGGUAUGAUAGAAACACGUUUCCAGUAUUCCCUUGUAUGGAAGUUUCAGCUGGUAUAUUCUUUGAUGAUAUUGAUUCUUUUAAAGUUACAUCUGGUAUCUUCUAAUUUGGAAGAAAUGUCGAAUUUGAAAUACGUGGGGAUUCUGCAACAACUGAAUUUUUUAUGAUCGACUUACCGUAAUCAGAUUAACGAGUUGAUUUCUUCCUUCAGUUGGGAAGUUGUAUCUGAACCUGAGUUCUAGUUUCUGAAGGUCCAAGGAAGUAAAGCUGAAUCAAUAAUCGUGUUACCGGUUGUGUUAUAGCUGGAAUGUUGGAAGUGAGUUUUGGAAUGGUAGAUUGGCCUAGCUAGUGACUAUUUAAGAAAGAUCUGUAAGCUCAAAAUGGUAGAGUGCUCGAUCCCCCGAGGUUGGGAGGAUGACGGCUCGAAUCCGUCCAGAUCUCGUCGUAUUUACCUUUGUACGACCUUGUAAAAUAAUAUUUAAAAACAUAAAAAUGAGGAAGAGUCUCAAAAUUUUGAAAAUUUAUAUUCUAA
Long non-coding RNA from Hibiscus syriacus, 1979 nucleotides. RefSeq lists it as uncharacterized. Lineage: Eukaryota; Viridiplantae; Streptophyta; Magnoliopsida; Malvales; Malvaceae. The transcript has 3 exons. The record is from RefSeq and is a predicted model, not a curated record.